UUUCUUUUUUUAAAAAAAAAGAAAAGGAUAAAGGUGGCUUUUUUCUUUUUUAUAACACCUUCUCAUGAUCAAAUGAAAAAGGAGAAGAUGGUAGUUUGGGAGCAUAUAGGACAGUAUGAUUGGGGUAGCUAGCUGGGACUUGAAAUGAUGAUUGAAUGAUUUCUUUUGUUGUGAAUAUGAUAUCACCUUAAUGAGUUUUGAUUUUUUAAGUACUAUGAUAGACCCUCUUUUGAUUUAGAUGAUGGGCUUAGGUCCCAUGUAAUAAUGAUGCUUUUUCUAUUUCUUUUUUCUUCUGUUUCAUCCAUUGGGUCUUUUGGCUAAAUGCAACAAUUCCAAUUUUAAAGAUUAUCUAUAAUUGCAGUUAUUUCCUUGUCG
RNAcentral lists this unclassified non-coding RNA (375 nucleotides) under Hevea brasiliensis (rubber tree). The record is from RNAcentral. Lineage: Eukaryota; Viridiplantae; Streptophyta; Magnoliopsida; Malpighiales; Euphorbiaceae.